Molecule: ribosomal RNA, 484 nt
Filed under: uncultured bacterium
Lineage: Bacteria
Description: partial 16S ribosomal RNA
Rfam family: Bacterial small subunit ribosomal RNA
Source: RNAcentral
GACGAACGCUGGCGGCGUGCUUAACACAUGCAAGUCGAACGAUGAAGCUGGAGCUUGCUCUAGCGGAUUAGUGGCAAACGGGUGAGUAACACGUGAGCAAUCUGCCCUUGACUCUGGGAUAACUGCGGGAAACUGUAGCUAAUACCGGAUACUUUCACCGGGGGGCAUCCUCUGGUGAUGAAAGAAUUUCGGUCAAGGAUGAGCUCGCGGCCUAUCAGCUUGUUGGUGAGGUAACGGCUCACCAAGGCGACGACGGGUAACCGGCCUGAGAGGGUGACCGGUCACACUGGGACUGAGACACGGCCCAGACUCCAACGGGAGGCAGCAGUGGGGAAUAUUGCACAAUGGGCGCAAGCCUGAUGCAGCAACGCCGCGUGAGGGAUGAAGGCCUUCGGGUUGUAAACCUCUUCUAGCAGGGAAGAAGCGAAAGUGACGGUACCUGCAGAAAAAGCACCGGCUAACUACGUGCCAGCCGCCGCGGUAA